UGGGGAAUAUUGCACAAUGGGCGCAAGCCUGAUGCAGCCAUGCCGCGUGUGUGAAGAAGGCCUUCGGGUUGUAAAGCACUUUCAGCGAGGAGGAAGGUGGUGAACUUAAUACGUUCAUCAAUUGACGUUACUCGCAGAAGAAGCACCGGCUAACUCCGUGCCAGCAGCCGCGGUAAUACGGAGGGUGCAAGCGUUAAUCGGAAUUACUGGGCGUAAAGCGCACGCAGGCGGUUUGUUAAGUCAGAUGUGAAAUCCCCGGGCUCAACCUGGGAACUGCAUUUGAAACUGGCAAGCUAGAGUCUCGUAGAGGGGGGUAGAAUUCCAGGUGUAGCGGUGAAAUGCGUAGAGAUCUGGAGGAAUACCGGUGGCGAAGGCGGCCCCCUGGACGAAGACUGACGCUCAGGUGCGAAAAGCGUGGGGAGCAAAACAGGAUUAGAUACCCCUGGUAGGUCCACGCUGUAAAACGAUGUCGAUUUUGGAGGUUGUGCCCUUGAGGCGUGGCUUCCGGAGCUAACGCGUUAAAUCGACCGCC
This 532-nucleotide ribosomal RNA is filed under the name uncultured bacterium. Its description in RNAcentral is "partial 16S ribosomal RNA". It matches the Rfam family "Bacterial small subunit ribosomal RNA", at positions 355 to 873 of the family's 1533-position model. The record is from RNAcentral.